This is a non-coding RNA of Pelobates cultripes (western spadefoot toad), 1377 nucleotides long. The record is from the annotation of a GenBank genome assembly. Lineage: Eukaryota; Metazoa; Chordata; Amphibia; Anura; Pelobatidae.
AUUUUUUUUUUUUUUUUUAUAAUUCUUUAUUUUUGCGUGCACAAGAGUUAGACAUGUUGCAUCUUAUGCAUCGUUUGAGUAGGUAACAGGUUUAAACAUUUGUCAGAUAAUGCAUGUGAUCAGUUUUAGCACAUUUUUUCAUUAAGUUUAACAGGCGUAACAUCCUAGGUAGAGGUUGUGUCGUAUAGGGGUUUAGUCGUGUUACUCGUCUGUGGGUGCAGUACCUAGGUCAUGGGUUGGUGUCGAUGACGUGACCCUAUUGGUGCUAGGAAGUAUGUGUGGAGAUGCGGAGUGGUGCUAGGGUCCAUGUGGGUGCAGUAGGUGUAGUUUCGUCGGUCAUGUAGUCUGGUGAGUGGUACACGUGUUCCGAAGUGGCUUGGUCAUCUAGUUCCGCUGGGGACCUCUCAUGAGGGGUGGUAGCCCUAACCUAGGGGCUGUCGGGGGGGUAGGUUUUGGCUUAGGGUAUAGCUUAUGGUCUGGUAAUGCGGCAGCGCGCCAGCGUCCUCGUCAGCUAAGUCAUCUAGCUAGCGAUAAACAGAUAAGAACUUCAACAUCAGAAAUGUAUUGCGCGGAGGGUGGUGGGAAUACAGAUUGUAGUAGACAAGACAUAUGGAUAUCGCCGUUAAGCGGGCAGGGUUAAGAGACCUCUCUCCCCCUGUCCGUCAGGUGGCUUGCGUGUCCAUUCUCUGUCUUCUCGGCACAAACGUAUCCGAGGUAUCUGGAUUCCAUACGUGGGGAGUGCCCAGGUUGGGCAAGUUUUGCAGGCCCAAUUUUGUGAGUAGUGUAGGGGCCUCAGUCCCUGAGGUGAUUUUAUGGGUGGUCCCCUGGUGGGUGAUGAGCAGAGAGCGGGGGUUCCCCCAUCUAUAUGGUAUCCCCGCUGUACGCAGAUGGCCUGUGAGUUCCGUAAGCGACUUUCUCCACUGGAGGGUGGCCUUGGAUAAGUCCUGAUAAAAGGUCAGUUGGGUUUCCUCGAAAUCAAGCGGGGUCUUACCCCUGAUGGCGCUCAUGAUGUGCCCCUUGUCUUGCGGUAGGGCGCACCGGACAAUGACAUCUCCGGCUAGCGUUGCGGCGGCUCUAGGAGGGGUGGGUAGGCGGUAAAUCCCUGCAAAGGCGAGUUUCUUUGUUACUGCGGGAGGGAGUAGUGAUUGUGUGAGUCGCCUCACGUAAUGCGGUAGGUCUUCUUUGCUCACCGAUGCCGGGAUGCCUCUGAUUUUGAUGUGGUUGCGCCGGUUUUUGUCCUCCUGCGUCGCCAGUUGUAUUGCUAAGCGUUGCUGGUCUUGUUGUAGUUGGUGGAGCGAAUCUUGUAGCGUAGAGACUUCUCCCUGUAUUGUUUUGACUUGGUUUUCAGUAGUGGUCACUUUUUCUGUGAUCUGUUGC